AGAAUAUAAGAAAUCUUCUCUUAGUUUUUAACUAAAAAAUUUAAGAACCAUUAAGAGCCGGUUCUUAACUUUUUUAGUUAAAAACUAAGAGACGGUUUCUUAUAUUCC
Non-coding RNA from Brassica napus (rape), 108 nucleotides. NCBI's taxonomy places the organism in Eukaryota, Viridiplantae, Streptophyta, Magnoliopsida, Brassicales, Brassicaceae. The record is from Rfam.